RNAcentral lists this ribosomal RNA (263 nucleotides) under uncultured Staphylococcus sp. Its description in RNAcentral is "partial 16S ribosomal RNA". It matches the Rfam family "Bacterial small subunit ribosomal RNA", at positions 99 to 355 of the family's 1533-position model. The record is from RNAcentral. Lineage: Bacteria; Bacillati; Bacillota; Bacilli; Caryophanales; Staphylococcaceae.
CGGACGGGUGAGUAACACGUGGAUAACCUACCUAUAAGACUGGGAUAACUUCGGGAAACCGGAGCUAAUACCGGAUAAUAUAUUGAACCGCAUGGUUCAAUAGUGAAAGACGGCUUUGCUGUCACUUAUAGAUGGAUCCGCGCCGCAUUAGCUAGUUGGUAAGGUAACGGCUUACCAAGGCAACGAUGCGUAGCCGACCUGAGAGGGUGAUCGGCCACACUGGAACUGAGACACGGUCCAGACUCCUACGGGAGGCAGCAGUA